GACGAACGCUGGCGGCGUGCUUAACACAUGCAAGUCGAGCGGUAAGGCCCUUUCGGGGUACGACGAGCGGCGAACGGGUAGGAGUAACAACGUGGGUGGACCUCGCCCUCCAGCUCUGGGAGUAAAGCCUCGGGAAACCGGGGUACCGUAAUAACCGGACGUAUGACUCCAUGACGCAUGUUGUGGGGUGGGAAAGACCUU
This 201-nucleotide ribosomal RNA is filed under the name uncultured bacterium. Its description in RNAcentral is "partial 16S ribosomal RNA". The record is from RNAcentral.